RNAcentral lists this ribosomal RNA (269 nucleotides) under uncultured Planctomycetales bacterium. Its description in RNAcentral is "partial 16S ribosomal RNA". It matches the Rfam family "Bacterial small subunit ribosomal RNA", at positions 565 to 832 of the family's 1533-position model. Lineage: Bacteria; Pseudomonadati; Planctomycetota; Planctomycetia; Planctomycetales. The record is from RNAcentral.
GAGCACGUAGGUGGGUUUGUAAGUCAGAUGUGAAAGCCUUCUGUUCAACGGAAGAAUUGCAUCUGAAACUGCGAGUCUUGAGUGUAGGAGGGGAGAAUGGAACUUCUGGUGGAGCAGUGAAAUGCGUAGAUAUCAGAAGGAACGCCGGCGGCGAAAGCGAUUCUCUGGCCUAUUACUGACACUCAGUGUGCGAAAGCUAGGGGAGCAAACGGGAUUAGAUACCCCGGUAGUCCUAGCCGUAAACGAUGGGCACUAAGUAGAGGGGUUUU